Molecule: long non-coding RNA, 656 nt
Filed under: Zonotrichia albicollis (white-throated sparrow)
Lineage: Eukaryota; Metazoa; Chordata; Aves; Passeriformes; Passerellidae
Description: lncRNA (ENSZALG00000007809.1)
Source: RNAcentral
CAGUGGAGAAGUGCUCACUCUAUAUGGGGCAAAUGAAAAGAACUAUAGACAAAGAAAUGCCCCCCUCAACUUCCUUUACCUGCCACUGUUGAAGAACCAUGGGGAUUGUAAAACCUUAGGAGAAAAUAUUGCCUUUCCCUGGCAAAGAAAUUCAGAAAGGAAAGUGCAGAAGCUUCUGUACCUAAUGCCUUGUGGUAGGAAACAAUGCUCCCACAGCUGGUGGAUUGUGUAGGAGGUAUCUCUGAGACUAGUGGAACUGUUGUUACUCAGAACUCUGAGGUGAAGAGGGAAGGGUACUAGGGGAAAAGGUACUCUGAUUAAAUAUUUUUUAUGAUAUUGAAAAUUUCUCCAACUUAAAUUUUUAUUUGGUCACUGGCACCACUUGAUGAUCCAUCUUUGCUCUUUCUUAGCCAAAUUGAUGGCUAUGAAUGUUGGUGGCGACUGGUGACAAAGACCAUGUCUACAGGUGCUUAAGACAGACUUAAACUCUUAUGCCCUUCUCUUUCUGACUCCAUUUUCAAAUUUCAAAAUGUGAAGAGUUUUCAAUAUAUUUUUCCUUUUGAUUUUUUCCUCUACUUUGUUAGAUCACUCAAAGAUAUUGAGUGAUAUCUAGUUCAGGUGUCCUCAGAGGAAAAUAAAAAUGCUAGUCUUGUCCA